This 405-nucleotide ribosomal RNA is filed under the name uncultured Nocardioides sp. RNAcentral describes it as "bacterial SSU rRNA". It matches the Rfam family "Bacterial small subunit ribosomal RNA", at positions 354 to 771 of the family's 1533-position model. Lineage: Bacteria; Bacillati; Actinomycetota; Actinomycetes; Propionibacteriales; Nocardioidaceae. The record is from RNAcentral.
GUGGGGAAUAUUGGACAAUGGGCGGAAGCCUGAUCCAGCAACGCCGCGUGAGGGAUGACGGCCUUCGGGUUGUAAACCUCUUUCAGUACCGACGAAGCGCAAGUGACGGUAGGUACAGAAGAAGCACCGGCCAACUACGUGCCAGCAGCCGCGGUAAUACGUAGGGUGCGAGCGUUGUCCGGAAUUAUUGGGCGUAAAGGGCUCGUAGGCGGUUUGUCGCGUCGGGAGUGAAAACGCCGUGCUUAACACGGCGCUUGCUUUCGAUACGGGCAGACUGGAGGUAUGCAGGGGAGAACGGAAUUCCUGGUGUAGCGGUGAAAUGCGCAGAUAUCAGGAGGAACACCGGUGGCGAAGGCGGUUCUCUGGGCAUUACCUGACGCUGAGGAGCGAAAGUGUGGGGAGCGA